UACGUAGGCAGCAAGCGUUGUUCGGAAUUACUGGGCGUAAAGCGAGUGUAGGCGGUUCGAUAAGUUUGGUGUGAAAUCUCCCGGCUCAACUGGGAGGGUGCGCCGAAGACUGUCGAGCUAGAGUGUGGGAGAGGUAGGCGGAAUUCCUGGUGUAGCGGUGAAAUGCGUAGAUAUCAGGAGGAACACCUGCGGUGUAGACGGCUUACUGGACCACGACUGACGCUGCAACUCGAAAGUGUGGGGAGCAAACAGG
This 253-nucleotide ribosomal RNA is filed under the name uncultured bacterium. RNAcentral's name for it is "partial 16S ribosomal RNA". It matches the Rfam family "Bacterial small subunit ribosomal RNA", at positions 524 to 776 of the family's 1533-position model. The record is from RNAcentral.